This 242-nucleotide ribosomal RNA is filed under the name uncultured soil bacterium. RNAcentral describes it as "partial 16S ribosomal RNA". It matches the Rfam family "Bacterial small subunit ribosomal RNA", at positions 26 to 258 of the family's 1533-position model. The record is from RNAcentral.
AGGACGAACGCUGGCGGCGUGCUUAACACAUGCAAGUCGAACGAGGUCCAACCCGUCGCAAGACGGGGGAAGACCUAGUGGCGAACGGGUGAGUAACACGUGAGGAACGUGCCCCGGAGACCGGGAUAACAGCGGGAAACCGCUGCUAAUACCGGAUACCUUCCUUUGAUCGCAUGAUCAGUUGAAGAAAUGGAUUCCGCUCCGGGAGCGCCUCGCGGUCUAUCAGUCUUGGUUGGUGGGGU